RNAcentral lists this ribosomal RNA (452 nucleotides) under uncultured bacterium. Its description in RNAcentral is "bacterial SSU rRNA". It matches the Rfam family "Bacterial small subunit ribosomal RNA", at positions 80 to 507 of the family's 1533-position model. The record is from RNAcentral.
AGCGACCCUAGUAAAGUGGCGAACGGGAGCGUAACACGUGAGGAACCUGCCCUGGAGCGGGGAAUAACCAAGAGAAAUUUUUGGCUAAUUCCGCAUGACGCAACAGUUCCGCAUGGGACAGUUGUUAAAGGUGGCCUCUGCUUGCAAGCCAUCGCUUGGGAGGGUCUCGCGCCUAUCAGCUUGUUGGUGAGGUAAUGGCUCACCAAGGCUACGACGGGGUAGCCGGCCUGAGAGGGGUGAUCGGCCUCAUUGGGACUGAGACACGGCCCAGACUCCUACGGGAGGCAGCAGUGAGGAAUCUUGCGCAAUGGGCGAAAGCCUGACGCAGCGACGCCGCGUGAGGGAUGAAGGCCUUCGGGUUGUAAACCUCUGUCAGGAGGGAAGAACUCGGUGGCGGUUAAUAACUGUCACCGUUGACGGUACCUCCAGAGGAAGCACCGGCUAACUCCGUG